Molecule: ribosomal RNA, 425 nt
Filed under: uncultured bacterium
Lineage: Bacteria
Description: partial 16S ribosomal RNA
Rfam family: Bacterial small subunit ribosomal RNA
Source: RNAcentral
GAAUUUUGGACAAUGGGCGAAAGCCUAAUCCAGCAAUGCCGCGUGCAGGAUGAAGGCCUUCGGGUUGGAAACUGCUUUUGUCCGGAACGAAAAGCUUUGGGUUAAUACCCGGGCGUAAUGACGGUACCGUAAGAAUACGCACCGGCUAACUACGUGCCAGCAGCCCCUGUAAUACGUAGUGUGCAAGCGUUAAUCGGAAUUACUGGGCGUAAAGCGUGCGCAGGCGGUUUUGUAAGACAGAGGUGAAAUCCCCGGGCUCAACCUGGGAACUGCCUUUGUGACUGCAAGGCUAGAGUACGGCAGAGGGGGGUGGAAGUCCGCGUGUAGCAGUGAAAUGCGUAGAUAUGCGGAGGAACACCGAUGGCGAAGGCAACCCCCUGGGCCUGUACUGACGCUCAUGCACGAAAGCGUGGGGAGCAAACAGG